This is an RNA transcript of Sorghum bicolor (sorghum), 1728 nucleotides long. It is a transcript of the gene named probable serine/threonine-protein kinase PBL7, with no coding region annotated. NCBI's taxonomy places the organism in Eukaryota, Viridiplantae, Streptophyta, Magnoliopsida, Poales, Poaceae. The record is from RefSeq and is a predicted model, not a curated record. The transcript is spliced from 6 exons.
UACUCUCUUCUUUGACCCACUCGGACGCGGUCACGCUACUCGGACGCGGAGACUAGAGCCUCUCCCCUCCUCGGGAAGCAGGUCAGGCAACGAGAGCCAGCCAUGGACUGCUGCUUCCCCUGCCUCCGAGGGGCCAAGAAGAAGGAGAAGCAGCCGCCGGAGAAGCCCCAGAUCCGCCCCGCCUCAGUUGUUGAUGCAGAGAAACCCAAACAGCGUCCGUCGUCUAGUGUGACGAAGCAGGAUUCAUUCGAUUUCAACAUGGAAUCUGCAAACAAGGGCAUUGUCCUGAGCAAUGGAUCUGGCCACAACCAAAUCGCUGCGCAAACCUUCAGUUUCAGGGACCUCGCAGCAGCCACGAGCAACUUCAGAGCUGAUUGCCUUCUUGGUGAGGGUGGCUUUGGACGGGUGUACAGAGGCUAUCUGGACAGUGUCAGCCAGGUUGUUGCUAUAAAGCAGCUUGACCGUAACGGAUUACAAGGCAACAGGGAGUUUCUUGUUGAAGUUCUGAUGUUGAGCUUGCUGCAUCACCCAAAUCUUGUCAGUCUUAUUGGCUACUGUGCUGAUGGGGAUCAGAGGCUUUUGGUUUAUGAGUAUAUGCCUCUAGGUUCUCUUGAGGAUCACCUUCAUGAUCCUUCCCCAGAUAAGGCACGGCUUGACUGGAAUACAAGGAUGAAGAUAGCUGCUGGUGCAGCGAAAGGGCUAGAGUAUUUGCAUGAUGCCAGUCCUCCUGUCAUAUACCGGGACUUGAAAUGUUCAAACAUCUUGCUUGGAGAGAGGUAUCACCCAAAGUUGUCUGAUUUUGGAUUGGCAAAGCUUGGUCCAAUCGGUGACAAAACUCAUGUUUCCACAAGAGUGAUGGGGACAUAUGGGUAUUGUGCUCCUGAGUAUGCUAUGACCGGACAGUUGACCCUAAAGUCGGACAUUUAUAGCUUCGGUGUAGUCCUUUUGGAGAUCAUUACAGGACAAAGGGCUAUUGACAACACCCGGGCUGGAGGGGAGCAAAAUCUUGUUGCAUGGAUGUCUGCCUCUUAGCUCGGCGUUAUCGCUUCAGUCUUUGGUAUCAUAUCACCUGAAGGGAAAGCAUAGGAGGCCCGGCCAUUGUUCAAAGACAGGAGGAAAUUUCCCCUGAUGGCAGACCCUGCACUAGAGGGGCAGUAUCCUCCAAGGGGAUUGUACCAGGCCCUUGCUGUCGCUGCAAUGUGCGUCCAAGAGCAACCGAGCAUGAGACCGCUGAUCGGGGAUGUGGUUACAGCCCUCACCUACCUUGCCUCCCAGACCUACGAUCCGGAAGCACAUGCCAAUUCACACUUGGUAGCUCCAGGGACACCACCACGGACUAGGACCAGGAUUCGAAGCCAUGGUGCUGCAGAUCAGAGGGGAAGUGGCUAACCAAGGCGAUGGAUGGUUUGGGGAAGCCCAGAAUUUUGGUAAGCAUCUAAUCUAAGAUGUGCAAGAGCUGGGGUGCCUGUGGAGAUGAAGAGAGAAUUUUGUCUCAUUUUGUUGGAACGGAGGGCAUCGAUGGUCUGUUCAAAACCUUUGGUUUAGCACCAGUUUGAGAUGAUGUAUCUUAAGAUGUUGGGAAUGCCAUUGCCAAGUGUUUCCCUGGUGGAUUCCAUUGAUGAAGGUACCAAGUGAUGUACAUAUAUCGUUCCAGAGUGUAUGCCAUUUCCAUCUGCGGAACAAACAACACAAUGGAAUUUAUAUAAGUAUAUUAUUCUCUUUCUUUUA